AGAGUUUGAUCAUGGCUCAGGAUGAACGCUAGCGGCAGGCUUAACACAUGCAAGUCGAGGGGUAACAGAGAGUGCUUGCACUCUGCUGACGACCGGCGCACGGGUGAGUAACGCGUAUGCAACCUACCUUUUACAGGGGAAUAGCCCAGAGAAAUUUGGAUUAAUACCCCAUAUUAUCUUUUAUUCGCAUGAAUCAGAGAUGAAAGUUUCGACGGUAAAAGAUGGGCAUGCGUCCUAUUAGUUUGUUGGUAAGGUAAUGGCUUACCAAGACUUCGAUAGGUAGGGGCCCUGAGAGGGGGACCCCCCACACUGGUACUGAGACACGGACCAGACUCCUACGGGAGGCAGCAGUGAGGAAUAUUGGACAAUGGAGGAAACUCUGAUCCAGCCAUGCCGCGUGCAGGAUGAAUGCCCUAUGGGUUGUAAACUGCUUUUAUACAGGAAGAAACAUUUCCACGUGUGGAAACUUGACGGUACUGUAAGAAUAAGGAUCGGCUAACUCCGUGCCAGCAGCCGCGGUAAUACGGAGGAUCCAAGCGUUAUCCGGAAUUAUUGGGUUUAAAGGGUCCGUAGGUGGUUAUUUAAGUCAGAGGUGAAAUCCUGCCGCUUAACGGUAGAACUGCCUUUGAUACUGAUUAACUUGAGUUAUUGUGAAGUAGUUAGAAUAUGUAGUGUAGCGGUGAAAUGCAUAGAUAUUACAUAGAAUACCGAUUGCGAAGGCAGAUUACUAACAAUAUACUGACACUGAGGGACGAAAGCGUGGGUAGCGAACAGGAUUAGAUACCCUGGUAGUCCACGCCGUAAACGAUGGUCACUAGCUGUUUGAUUAACAUUGGUUAAUUAAGUGGCUAAGCGAAAGUGAUAAGUGACCCACCUGGGGAGUACGCUCGCAAGAGUGAAACUCAAAGGAAUUGACGGGGGCCCGCACAAGCGGUGGAGCAUGUGGUUUAAUUCGAUGAUACGCGAGGAACCUUACCAGGGCUUAAAUGUAGAUUGCAUAAGCUAGAGAUAGCUUUUUCUUCGGACUAUCUACAAGGUGCUGCAUGGUUGUCGUCAGCUCGUGCCGUGAGGUGUCAGGUUAAGUCCUAUAACGAGCGCAACCCCUAUAUUUAGUUGCCAGCACAUAAUGGUGGGGACUCUAGAUAGACUGCCCGGAAUAACCGGGAGGAAGGUGGGGAUGAUGUCAAGUCAGUAUGUCCCUUAUACCCAGGGCUACACACGUGUUACAAUGGAUAGUACAAAAAGUCGCAAUCCCGCGAGGAGGAGCCAAUCUUUAAAACUAUCCCCAGUUCAGAUUGAAGUCUGAAAUUCGACUUCAUGAAGCAGGAAUCGCUAGUAAUCGUAGGUCAGCACACUACGGUGAAUACGUUCCCGGGUCUUGUACACACCGCCCGUCAAGUCAUGGAAGUCUGCAGUACCCGAAGAUGGUAUCCUAACCGCAAGGAGGGAGCUGUUUAAGGUAAGGCAGGUAACUGGGACUAAGUCAUAACAAGGUAACCGUA
This 1502-nucleotide ribosomal RNA is filed under the name uncultured bacterium. RNAcentral's name for it is "bacterial SSU rRNA". It matches the Rfam family "Bacterial small subunit ribosomal RNA". The record is from RNAcentral.